Poecilia reticulata (guppy) is the source of this 5574-nucleotide non-coding RNA. Lineage: Eukaryota; Metazoa; Chordata; Actinopteri; Cyprinodontiformes; Poeciliidae. The record is from RefSeq and is a predicted model, not a curated record.
AUAGGGAAUCAGGAAACCCCCUGCAGGUGACAAUAUGAGACUCAGAUAAUUCAGAGCAGCAAACACCUCCACUUUAACAUCAUUAAGGUCUGAUGUUGCAAAGGUUCAUUUUAAAAUUAAUAUGCCUUUUAUAAUUUCAAUUAUUUAAACGCUGUGCAACAUCUUUAAAAAAUAAUAGCUUAGAAGAUGACCAACAAUGUCUUGGUAAUUGAAAAUAAUGUUAUGGAAACCAAGCUGAAUGAAGAAAAUUAUAAACUAAUAAGGUGAGUCAAAAACUGAAUAACAUAUUCAGUUUUUUCCAUUGUUGGUUUAAAGAAGAUUUGUUGAAAGUGGCCAAUAUAUUAAUAUCUGAACAAAACAACACAAUGAGUGAUGAAAUAUCCAUGUCAAACUCACACAUACUUGCAGAGAACAUUCUUGUCUUGUCUUUUUGUAACCCACAUAAAAUGGGGAUGCCUCUUUAAGAAACAGAGGUUAGGGAAGCUGGUCUACCUAGCCAAUUGGAAGUUUAGUUUCCAGUGUGUUUAAACCAAUCAGAAUUCAGAAUGCUGCUGCAAGUUCCACCCUUCUUCCCCGUAUCCUUGUGUGUGUGAGCGGAAGAGAACCGCCAUAAGAAGAAAACGGUUAAGCUGAGCAGCGUGAGAGUCUGUGUUAAAACGGUUAUAGUACCUGAUACGAACUCUAAACAAACCCUUUCCUAGAUAUAAUGGUUGGUUAUCAUCCAACUUCUAAGCUGGAAGUUGUAAAAUGAGAAAAAAAAAGACUGAACUUCAGUUUUUCUGCCGAGCACCGUUAGAGCUAACGGCUACUGGUUUCCUCAACGUUCAUUUCGUUCUCCCUUCAGUUGAAGUGCCCCACGGUCCGGACUGAGAGCCGCCAUAUUGUUGUCCCAAACGUGUCGCAUUGAGAUCGGUCAGGGUUUUUUAUGCUGGAUUGUUCCUGAGGUGGAUUCCUCCUGUGACUUCGAUGGCCAGCCUUCCCACCUGGACUUAGAAAGAACCGGAUUCAGUCUUUUCCAUUUGGAGUCCUGCUGCACCCCGCGGUGUGGAGAUGCUUGCAAAGGUGAAGUGUGGUGGUGUACAAAAGUACAUUAAAGUUCCACAAAAUGAGGAAUGGUUCAAUUGUCUUCAGUUUCUUCAAGAUGGUUUGUAUUUAUGUGCUAUUUAAAUUGGUAUAGACUAAUUACAUAUGAGUGAACAACAUAUAUUGUCCGACCCAAUUAUCUUAAUUUCAGUUGCGGGCAAAUUUAACUUUCAGCCUACACUCUUCACUGAAAGUGUACUUAUCCUCACUGACAUGUCAGACACUGAAGUUGAUAUAGACAUUUUUGAUGAGUUGGUUAAGUCUGGGGUCCAAGCUUUCAAAGUUGGAUACAAAAAUCAGCCAACCUCAGGUAAAACAACUCUACAAUAAUUUGGUGUAGGCUUCUUCUUGAUAUUGGAUGAAUGUUGGUCAGAUUUAACAACCUUUAUGAUCCCAACUUUUUUUCUUUUUUUUUUUUAUUGUAAAAUCCUCUUACAUGUUGAAUGCUUACCACAUAUAAUUUAUGUUGUCAGGCAUUAUUCCAGUUGUUUUGCAUUGUCAUGUAUUUUGCUGUAAUUGAAAAAAAAAUAAUUUUAUGGUCUUUGAUAGAGAUUUUUUGGUAUUAUCAUUUUGUUGUUACUUUAGUUCAUAUUCAGUCUAAUGUUAGUUAGUUUAAAGUGUUCUCUUUUUUAGUGUGUAUUAACUGACCUGGAAGUCACAACUGCCUGUUCAUCUUCAUGUGAAACAGUUUGACAGAGAUUUGAACCGGGCUCAGACCGUAAAUCAGAUAUCACAUCUGGAACUGGGUUGCUAGUUGUUUGGAUUUUGAGAUCUGUGUGGCGGAAGAUGAAGCACAAUCCUCAGCAACAAUCCCUCUCGUCCGUCCGCCCAGCUUCUUCUUGCUCUUCAGAUUCCACAAUUAUUCUGAAAAGUUCUAAGAACAGUAAGAAGGAACUUGGAAAGCAUGGUCGUGAGGAAGCAAAACAGAAGGUGCGUACUGCCCUGAGGUCAAACCCAAAGGGAGGAUUCCACCCAUAAGUGUUCGGACUAGCUAUGCACUGGGGAUUUUAACGCUUUUUCCAUAUCUUCAAGAUCCGUACUCAAAAAAUGGCUAUGAACAUUUCUAUGAUCCAGAAGCCAACACUGGGUACCUAGCCUGGAGGCUGAAGACUGUUCAGCAAAACACCUUUGAUGGAGCACAUGGGUCUCCCAAGCAAAACUUCCCAGAUGGCCCAACAACAGAAAGAGGAUCUUUGCUUGUUAGUGGACAGUUGUUUGGGGAGGAGUGCGUAGAGGCCCUGUCUGUCAUUAGACACUCCACAGAUGAGUCUGUGAUUAAAGAGAAGAUGAGAGCCACCUUUGAAUACAGACAAAAGAUGGUUCAUGACCCUGAUGCUACAUCAUCAGUCUUGGAUAUCUUCUCUCGUUUUCAUGAUACCCCUGGGCUGAUUGACCAGGAUUUCUCAAUGAUGCUUGGGGACGAAGUGUCGGGAAGAUUUCUUUCCAAAUCGUCUUCAUAUUUCAAACCAAAAGUCAUUGCAGAAAGCCAAAGUCUUCCAUCAACUCCUUCUGUUGAAGAGUUACGAGCUUCUUUUGACCCAGAGCCCUCAAAUCACUGUGGAUGGGAUAGUGACCUGGCAGCUCUUCUAUUGUUGCUGCAUCUCCUACCCCCCACAUCAAGAGGCCACAAAAAACAGCAAAGAUUAGCUCAGCACAGGCAGCCAAUCGUCUAGUAAGAUUCCUCAAAGAAGGAGUCAGUCUCACUACCUUCCUGGAGAAAGUUGACACCAGCCAGCCCUUCCUCCUCUGCAUUGGCGAACAAAAGAAGAAUAUUCUGAGGUUCUUCAUCGUUGUUGACCAGAAAGCUAUUCCAUGUGCUGCUCCAACUUCAGUGGCUGCUUUUGAUGUGCUGUUCAAAGCUCACUUUGUCUUCAGCCUCUCAUAUGAUGAAGCUCUUUCCAGUUUCUAUACCUUCAUUCAAACUACCAUCUACAAUAUUGAUGUUGGGAACACAAGAGAAAGAACACGAGUCAAGGAGCUGAGAGCAUGUCUACUGCGAGGUGAAAAAAGGUGAAAGUGUCAAAAUGCCGCAGAAUAUAAACACGUAUAGGAGGGCUUGAAAACCAUUUGACAAUGUUCACAUGCUUUGUUUGUAAAAUGCACCACAAAGACUGUUCAACUCUUUGUCAACAUUUAAAAUUCCAUCAUGGUUUAUAUCCAGCUAAAAGUUUACGUUUAAAAUGUGGAGAGCAGGGUUGUGUUUCAUCUUUUUGCACUUGCAAUGGCUCUUGAAAACAUAUUCACAAUGUACAUAGUCAUCAUGAUAAGCGUGUAGGGAUACAACAGGAAGCUGUCAUCCAAACACAUUCUCAAGAAAAAUUUUUAGGUGAUCAACUAAGUACUUCUUCAUCUACCUCACAAGUUCCUGCUGUUCUCACACAGGACUCGCUUGUUGGAAUGUGUGGCUCUACAGUCGCUCACUUACAAGCUUCUGGAUUUCUGAAAGUGCUGUUCAAACAGUAAUUUCUUCUGUGGAGGAAGUUGUCACUGAUGUUCAGAGUCAAGCAAGAGAAGCAGUACUCCAAACAUUUUCUUCUGAUAAUAAGAAAUCAGACAUUUACAAAAAAGUUGAACACAGUUUAAACCAAUUACAAAACCCUUUUAACACUGAAAAAAAAGACAAAAAUAUGAUAAAAAAUGGGACAUAGUUGAGCCUAAACAAUUUGUACUUGGUGUAGAUUGGAUACACGUAGACAAAGAACUACAGGUGUUAAUAGCCAAAUACCUGUAAGGGACAAAAUACAUGUAUGUACCUAUUUUAGGUACAAUCAAUUCUAUUUUUAAGAAUAGUGAAAUUAGAGAACUUCUCUUGCAUGAGAAACAAAAACAAACAGGUCUAUACAAAGACAUUACUGAUGGAUUAUAUUUCCAAAAUCAUCCUCUGUUUUCGCAACAGAAAUAUGCUUUACAAAUUUUGCUUUAUUAUGAUGAUUUUGAAACUGCUAACACAUUAGGUUCCAAAAAAGAGAUACAUAAAUUAGGCUGCAUUUAUUUCACAACACUAAACCUCCCACCAAAGGUAAACUCUGUGCUAAUGAAUGUGCAUUUGGCUGCUCUGUUCUACACAGAAGAUUUAAAAAAAUAUGGGUUUGAAGAAAUACUAAAGCCUCUGAUUGAUGACUCGAAAAUUUUAGAAACCAAAAGAAUCCUGCUUCCAUUUAUAGAAGAGCCAGUCUUUGGUUCUGUUAUUCAAAUUACAGGUGACAAUCUUGCUUUAAAUGGCUUAUUGGGUUUUGUUGAAUCAUUUAGUGCAACACACUGGUGUAGGUUUUGUUUGAUAAAUAAGGAAGAAAUUCAGUCUGUUUUUAAUGAAGAUAAUUCUGGGCUUGUUCUCUUCAUUCUGAACAUUGUAAUGCAUUACGUGAAGACCCUGCUCUCUCUUCUGUUUAUGGAGUUAAACAAUCUUGUGUUCUCAAUUCAUUAGAAUAUUAACACAGUACAGACAAUUAUGCUGUUGAUAUAAUGCAUGAUUUGUACAGUAUGAGCUCAAACCUUUUUUUCAAUACAUGAUCAAAAAUGACUAUAUUUCUAUUGGCACAUUAUUAAACAGGAUACAACGUUUUAAUUAUGGCUUUGUGGAGCGCAAAAAUAAACCAAGUGUGUUAAAAAUAGAUGAUAACAGCAAGCACUUAGGUUUAAAUGCUAUUCAAACAUGUAUCCUCCGUAAUACUCGGCUCAUUUUUGGAGACAGUUGAGCGUGACAACAGCCGCUGGAACCUUGUUCUCUUGUUGUUGCAGAUUGUUAACAUUGUGUUAUCCCCAACCCUUACUGAUGGCAUGAUAUGUUAUCUGAAACAUCUGAUCUGUGAUCACCAUAACAUGUUUAAGAAUUUGUACCCUGACAAAAAAUUAAUUCCUAAACACCACCUAAUGAUUCACUAUCCAAGAUGUAUUAAGAAAAUUGGCCCUCUAAUCUACAUAUGGUGCAUGCGUUUCGAAGCCAAGCACAAUUUUUUUAAAAAGUCCAUAACAAUUUUAAAAACCUUACUAAGUCUCUUGUAAAGAGACAUCAGCGUCAAUUGGUCUUUAAUUAUGAAAAGUAUUGUUUUACAAGAUUUGAGUUUGGUCCCUUAAAAUUGAGAACAGUUAACACCUUGAAAGGUGGACAUUUAUUGUGUGAGCUAUGUUUCUACUACAAAAUGGGUAAAAAUGUAUGGUAUUGAAUAUCGUGUUGGUCUUUACUUAUGUAAUGGAAUGUUUAGUGAUCUGCCCGUCUUUAAGAAAAUUUGCCAUGUUAUUGUACAUGAACAACGUCACUCAUAUUAAUUAGGCUGUGCUGUGACAACCUUGUACUUUGAUGAACACUUCCAUUCGUAUUGCAUUGAAGAAAAAAGUGAUGAACAUGCUGUUAUUUGCAUUGAACAACUGACAUAUGUGAGACCCUUAGUCAAACAAUAUUGUAAUGAAGGUGAGAACAUGUACAUUGUUCCAUAUUGUUACAUGUUUUACAUUGUGGUGCUGUUUUAGAAUAAAUGCAUUUCAGAAAAAUCA